UACAGAGGUCUCAAGCGUUGUUCGGAUUCAUUGGGCGUAAAGGGUGCGUAGGUGGCGAUGCAAGUCUGGUGUGAAAUCUUGGGGCUCAACCUCAAAAUUGCACCGGAUACUGCGUUGCUCGAGGAUUGUAGAGGAGAGUGGAAUUCAUGGUGUAGCAGUGAAAUGCGUAGAUAUCAUGAGGAAGACCAGUUGCGAAGGCGACUCUCUGGGCAAUUCCUGACACUGAGGCACGAAGGCCAGGGGAGCAAAC
Molecule: ribosomal RNA, 250 nt
Filed under: uncultured bacterium
Lineage: Bacteria
Description: partial 16S ribosomal RNA
Rfam family: Bacterial small subunit ribosomal RNA
Source: RNAcentral